AACGAACGCUGGCGGCAUGCCUAACACAUGCAAGUCGAACGAGACCUUCGGGUCUAGUGGCGCACGGGUGCGUAACGCGUGGGAACCUGCCCUUAGGUUCGGAAUAACUCCCCGAAAGGGGUGCUAAUACCGGAUAAUGUCUUCGGACCAAAGAUUUAUCUCCUUUGGAUGGGCCCGCGUUGGAUUAGCUAGUUGGUAGGGUAAAAGCCUACCAAGGCGACGAUCCAUAGCUGGUCUGAGAGGAUGAUCAGCCACACUGGGACUGAGACACGGCCCAGACUCCUACGGGAGGCAGCAGUGGGGAAUAUUGGACAAUGGGCGAAAGCCUGAUCCAGCAAUGCCGCGUGAGUGAUGAAGGCCUUAGGGUUGUAAAGCUCUUUUACCCGGGAUGAUAAUGACAGUACCGGGAGAAUAAGCUCCGGCUAACUCCGU
RNAcentral lists this ribosomal RNA (432 nucleotides) under uncultured bacterium. RNAcentral describes it as "partial 16S ribosomal RNA". It matches the Rfam family "Bacterial small subunit ribosomal RNA", at positions 29 to 506 of the family's 1533-position model. The record is from RNAcentral.